UUAGGAAUUUUGGGCAAUGGGCGCAAGCCUGACCCAGCAACGCCGCGUGGGCGACGAAGCCCUUCGGGGUGUAAAGCCCUUUUCCACGGGACGAAUCUGACGGUACCGUGGGAAGAAGCCCCGGCUAACUACGUGCCAGCAGCCGCGGUAAUACGUAGGGGGCGAGCGUUGUCCGGAUUCAUUGGGCGUAAAGCGCGCGCAGGCGGCCGCGUGAGCCCGGCGUGAAAGCCCCCAGCUCAACUGGGGGAGGUCGUCGGGGACCGCGUGGCUGGAGGCCGGCAGGGGAGAGUGGAAUUCCCGGUGUAGUGGUGGAAUGCGUAGAGAUCGGGAGGAACACCAGUGGCGAAGGCGACUCUCUGGGCCGGUCCUGACGCUCAGGCGCGAAAAGCGUGGGGAGCGAUCCGGAUUAGAUACCCGGGUAGUCCACGCCGUAAACGAUGGGUGCUAGGUGUCGGGGGUAUCGA
This 464-nucleotide ribosomal RNA is filed under the name uncultured bacterium. Its description in RNAcentral is "bacterial SSU rRNA". It matches the Rfam family "Bacterial small subunit ribosomal RNA", at positions 355 to 835 of the family's 1533-position model. The record is from RNAcentral.